GAUACACUGAAUUUGAAUCUGAAAAAUUCUUGUACAUCAGAGCAGACUUUGUCCAAAGACCCUUAACAUGAAGCCAGAAGACAGAAGAAUCAGGUCAAACUAAAAAUACAAGAAGUCCAGCAGCAGCAAACAGAAACUAAGAGGAGAGGAUUCAGAACCAGGUGACAGACUUCUGAGAAAUCCAACCUGGCUGUAUAUCUGAGAUACUGCCACUGCAUCAGCACCACAAGAUAAAGACUCCAGUGUCACCUUGCUCAUGUCCUCGUUAGUGUCACCCAAGACAGUGAACUCUGAUAGGGUAACAGAAGAGUUGUGCUGGGGAUUAUGCCUCAUCCCGCUGACAAAGAUCCUGAACGGAAUCAUCAGGAAUGGCACAGUGCAGGUGGCAAAAUCAAAGUAAGGCCGCGGAUUUUUGAGAGGACCCUCCAAAUACUGAGAACU
Molecule: long non-coding RNA, 441 nt
Organism: Chionomys nivalis (European snow vole)
Lineage: Eukaryota; Metazoa; Chordata; Mammalia; Rodentia; Cricetidae
Exons: 3
Source: RefSeq, a predicted model, not a curated record